GUGGGGAAUAUUGCACAAUGGGCGAAAGCCUGAUGCAGCGACGCCGCGUGAGGGAUGAAGGCCUUCGGGUUGUAAACCUCUUUCAGCUCCGACGAAGAGUGAUUGACGGUAGGAGCAGAAGAAGCGCCGGCCAACUACGUGCCAGCAGCCGCGGUAAGACGUAGGGCGCGAGCGUUGUCCGGAUUUAUUGGGCGUAAAGAGCUCGUAGGCGGCUUGUCGCGUCGACUGUGAAAACCCGCGGCUCAACCGUGUGGUCUGCAGUCGAUACGGGCAGGCUAGAGUUCGGUAGGGGAGACUGGAAUUCCUGGUGUAGCGGUGAAAUGCGCAGAUAUCAGGAGGAACACCGGUGGCGAAGGCGGGUCUCUGGGCCGAUACUGACGCUGAGGAGCGAAAGCGUGGGGAGCGAACAGGAUUAGAUACCCGAGUAGUCC
RNAcentral lists this ribosomal RNA (431 nucleotides) under uncultured bacterium. Its description in RNAcentral is "bacterial SSU rRNA". It matches the Rfam family "Bacterial small subunit ribosomal RNA", at positions 354 to 796 of the family's 1533-position model. The record is from RNAcentral.